Long non-coding RNA from Esox lucius (northern pike), 1880 nucleotides. The record is from Ensembl. NCBI's taxonomy places the organism in Eukaryota, Metazoa, Chordata, Actinopteri, Esociformes, Esocidae.
CCGGAAGUGACUGCGCCAUAAGACAUCUAGCCUUUAUAUAUGAUGUCUAUGGGUUUAACCUUCUGGUCAAUCGUCAGCGAAUAAAACGGGCAGAAACACUGGAACUAUUAUCACAUGGACUCAAUACAGUAGAGGUGCUAGCUUGUCUAAGGAACAUGGGAGACUCCAGAGCUCAUUAUGAAGCCCUAAAGAAAGAGCUAGAUGAAGAUUCCGUCUCCCCCAGUUGAAGUGUACCUAUGAUAAAAAUUACAGACCUCUACAUGCUUUGUAAGUAGGAAAACCUGCAAAAUCGGCAGUAUAUCAAAUACUUGUUCUCCCCACUGUAUGUUUAUUUUACAGAUGCAGCAGCCAUUUUUAAAGUGGCAAAAGAAUGUCAACCUAAGGGCAAAAGUAAGCACAAACAUUUUUCCCUUUCCAAAGCCACAGAACCAAAAAUAUCUAAAAAUAAGUAUCCGUCCAAUGGCUUGGAAAGAAAAAACUAAAGUGACAUGGGGAAAAUACAUUAGAGUUGUUGCUGAGGAGGAGCCGUCCACAUUUUUACUGGACCCCGCUGAUGGCUAUAAUGUUGCCGUCGCCAAAGACAGGCUUUGGGCAGACUUUGACCUUCCAGGUGCAGCCUUCACACUCUGCCAUGACGAUGGGACACCAUGGCCAAGGAGGACUUUGAAAAAGAGCAAAUGACCCUAUCAGAAAUAAAGGAUGUCUGGAAGAAAACAUUCUUUGUUGGACAAAGAUCCAUGGCAGGACACAGUAACCUGGCUGAGGAACGGCCCGGGCCACCAGAAAAUUAUUCGAGUUCCCCAUCAGAGGAUUUCUUGGCAGACACACAACAACCAAAUUAUCCGGUUGAGGCAGCCAGACCAUUGUUCCACCUGCUGGUCCUCUCGGGGGAACAAUCUACUAUCGUGCUGCUGAAUGUGAGCUACACUACAAUCCUGCAACGUGGCAUUCCGAUGUGUGGUCUGUUGGUGCUACCUUUGUAGAGCUUUUUACAGGUUCUUGGCCUUGGAAUUUAAGACAAUCUCGUGAAGUUAAAGCACUGCUUUCUUCCCGGACUGAGCCCCAUGCUUUAGCCUUGCUUUCCCCAACAUGGAAAGACACUAUAACCCAAUGCCUUAUGUAUGAACCAGAACAACGACCCACAGCAAGGACCCAGGCCAAGGUUUUCUGAUCUGGGCUUGACCUCCAAACACUAGGUUGUUAAAUAAUUUUUGGGGGAGUAAUGGACUUCUCAGGACUGUGCAGGCCACUGAAGCCAUAGGCUAUUUAAAUAAUGUUCCUGAAACCAUUUUCUUAUUAUGCUGGAAAUGCAGAUAUUGUAUCCCUGGUUUUGGGAAUUUUUUUAUAUUGUUGUUCAUAUCUAAUGUUAAGAAAAAUAUUGUUUGUUUGUUGGGGGAUUUACUUCAAUACUUUCUAAUAUAUUAAUACCUAAUUCCUUUGAUAUCCUGGCUGGGCAGGAUACAUUUUUUUUUUAACAAGAUUGGCUUUGAAAUGUUUUCAAUAAUCAACAUCCACUCUUCUUUUUUUUUGUUACAUAUAUACUGUAUGUAUACUGUGCUGGAGUGUCCACCUUUGUUCUUUUUAUCACCUGCUCAUAAAGUUCACCUGGGCAUGCACCCUUUUACAAUGGUUACUCUAUUUAAGUGACUAUUUGGUUAGUGCAUGUUUAAAGCAAACAUCUUUAUCUAUUAUGGGUUACAGUAGAGCCGAACAAAGAGCUUUUUCUGAAAACCAGGAGCAGCAAAACAUGUCUGCCUGCUGUGUAAACAAUUCAAAAAUGUUAUGAGGAAUGUAGUUGUAAGGAAUACGAGCCACAGGCAUGUAUAGAUCCAUGCACAGAGCAUGAAAUGGUUUUAUUGUAGACGACAAGACAAAAAAAA